RNAcentral lists this long non-coding RNA (921 nucleotides) under Ovis aries (sheep). RNAcentral describes it as "lncRNA (ENSOARG00000025281.1)". The record is from RNAcentral. Lineage: Eukaryota; Metazoa; Chordata; Mammalia; Artiodactyla; Bovidae.
AUGAUCUGUGACACACACACAUGCACACUUGCGCACACACACACACGCACGUUCCUCAGAAUCCCCCUUGGUGCUGCUCCCCUUUGGGCUGCAUUCUGUCCAGAACCCGCCAUCAGCACGCUCGGUCAGACAGAGGUAGCUAAAAGAAUGAACCAGGGCCGCCGGCCCCUCCAAACUCACUCAGCUUUGCGGGGCUUGGGGCUCGGGGCCUCUGCCGUGUCAUAUUCCCGCACAUCCUUCAGCUCCCGCACCUGGCCCGUCAGCACUUUGGCGGCAAAAGCCACGAUGUACUGUAGGAAGGGAAGGGAGAGGUGAAAAGAGAGCCCUGCGCCUCCUGACCGCCGUCUGCUCCAGCCACAGGCCCUCUGCCCCUUGCCCCUCGGCGGGGCCCUCAGGGACGGGGACCGGAACAGGGCCGGCGUCUGAGGAGGGCCGGGGGGCGAGGCCUUGUGGACGCGCACUCACCAGGAACCAGUAGAGGUUCAUGAGGGUGAGCAGCAGCAGGAGCACGUUGAAGAAGAAGUAGAAGGGGAUGUCAGGCACCGACCGCAGGCUGCAGUAGCUCGUGGCGUACAGGACCUUGAGCGGGAACCAGUAGAGGCGGAACCAGAACCUGCAGGAGGGAGGGGCGGCUCGGCGAGGCUGUGGGGGAGAAGCGGAGGAUGGCCCCACCCCGUGCCUGGCCUGUCCCGGCUGGAAUCAUCCAUCUGUCCCUAUCUCCUUACCCCACCCUUGUCCAUUCCUGCCCAUCUGUCUCCUUUUCUGCUCUGUCCUUUCCAGCCCACUUGCCUCUUCCCGACUCACACCGCCUUACUGCCCUGCCAGGCCCCACCCACCUCACCAACCCCACCCGCUUCCCCUCUGGGACCCGCUUUCUCCUUGCUCGGCCACGCCCACUCGUCUAAACCCCACCCCCUUCCC